Molecule: ribosomal RNA, 497 nt
Filed under: uncultured bacterium
Lineage: Bacteria
Description: partial 16S ribosomal RNA
Rfam family: Bacterial small subunit ribosomal RNA
Source: RNAcentral
GAUGAACGCUGGCGGCGUGCCUAAUACAUGCAAGUCGAGCGGCCAGACGAGGAGCUUGCUCCUCGUACGUUAGCGGCGGACGGGUGAGUAACGCGUGGAUACGCUCCCUAUAAGACGGAGUAACUUCCGGAAAACGGGACCAAUACCCGGUAAUAUCAUCGAAUCGCAGGGUUCAUUAGCUAAAGACGGUUCUCGUGUCGGUUAUAGAUGUAUCCGCGCUGCUUUAGCUCGUAGGUAACGUAACGGCUUACCAAUGCAACGAUGCGUAGCCGACCUGAGAGGGUGAUUGGCUACACUGGCACUGAGACACGCUCCAGACUCCUACGGGAGGACGCAGUAGGGAAUCUUACGCGAUGGGCGAAAGCGUGACGGAGCACAGUCGGGUGAGUGAUGAAGGUCCUCGGAUGGGAGAACGCUGUUAUUAGGGAAGUUCAAAUGUGUAAGUAUCUAUGAACGUCUUGACGGUAACUAAUGAGAAAGCCUCGGCUAACUACGUG